CCUACGGGAGGCAGCAGUGAGGAAUAUUGCACAAUGGGGGGAACCCUGAUGCAGCGACGCCGCGUGAGUGAAGAAGCGCCUCGGCGCGUAAAGCCCUGUUAGCAGGGAAGAAAAUGACGGUACCUGAAGAAGAAGCACCGGCUAACUACGUGCCAGCAGCCGCGGGAAUACGUAGGGGGCAAGCGUUACCCGGAUUUUAUGGGGGUAAAGGGGGCGCAGACGGCGAUGCAAGCCAGGAGUGAAAGCCCGGGGCCUAAGCCCGGGACUGCUGUUGGAACUGCGUGGCUGGAGUGCAGGAGGGGAAGGCGGAAUGCCUGGUGUAGCGGUGAAAUGCGUAGAUAUAAGGAGGAACACCGGUGGCGAAGGCGGCCUGCUGGCCUGCAACUGACGUUGAGGCACGAAAGCGUGGGGAGCAAACAGGAUUAGAUACCCUGGUAGUC
Molecule: ribosomal RNA, 440 nt
Filed under: uncultured bacterium
Lineage: Bacteria
Description: partial 16S ribosomal RNA
Rfam family: Bacterial small subunit ribosomal RNA
Source: RNAcentral